GAUUGGUUAGCGCGUGAGACUUUUAAUCUCAAGGCUCAGGGUUCGAGUCCCUGGUCGGGCG
This is a transfer RNA of 61 nucleotides. It matches the Rfam family "tRNA". Rfam says of the family: Transfer RNA (tRNA) molecules are approximately 80 nucleotides in length. Their secondary structure includes four short double-helical elements and three loops (D, anti-codon, and T loops). The record is from Rfam.